CGAAGGGGCUAGCGUUGCUCGGAAUUACUGGGCGUAAAGGGAGCGUAGGCGGACGAUUAAGUUGGGGUGAAAUCCCAGGGCUCAACCCUGGAACUGCCUCCAAAACUGGUCGUCUUGAGUAUGGGAGAGGUAUGUGGAACUCCGAGUGUAGAGGUGAAAUUCGUAGAUAUUCGGAAGAACACCAGUGGCGAAGGCGACAUACUGGCCCAUUACUGACGCUGAGGCUCGAAAGCGUGGGGAGCAAACAGGAUU
RNAcentral lists this ribosomal RNA (252 nucleotides) under uncultured bacterium. RNAcentral describes it as "partial 16S ribosomal RNA". It matches the Rfam family "Bacterial small subunit ribosomal RNA", at positions 527 to 779 of the family's 1533-position model. The record is from RNAcentral.